Molecule: non-coding RNA, 1273 nt
Organism: Odocoileus virginianus texanus
Lineage: Eukaryota; Metazoa; Chordata; Mammalia; Artiodactyla; Cervidae
Source: RefSeq, a predicted model, not a curated record
UCCAGGAGACAGUGAUGGACAGGGAGGCCUGGCGUGCUGCAGUCCAUGGUGUUGCAAAGAGUCAGACAGGAAUGGGCGAGUGAACAACAGCACUGGUCCAGGCACCAGUGAUUGGCAAGGGAGGAUCCAGACUUACCCUGACAGUCCUGCCAGCCCACAGGGAUGCCUGAUGUUUUGGGCAUGGGAGGCCCAUGCUGAAUCCUGAACAGCGUAGAUGGGGAGACAGGAUGCCCCAGGGCAGGGGUGGCUGCUGUGCCUCACUCAGCCCUCUGGAGAUCCCUCUGAAGGCUCACCGAGCAGUGGGGAGAGGGCUUUGAUAGACAGUCAGGGAGCUGAACCAGACUGACACCCCGCUCUUCCGAGUGCAGGACUUCCUGAGCAGUUGUUUUCAAGUUUGUUUGAAAAAGUAAUCCUGCUGGGAGCUGAGCAUCAGGAACAUAUGGUCCAUGCAGACGUGGAGUCCCAGCGGGUGCGGGGCUCCCAGAGAGACCGAGGCCAGUCCAGGUUGACAUUUCACUACCACCACUUUACAUCUGAUCACUCGACCGUGUUUCUGCUCCUUUCCUCAGCUGAACCUUCAACACAAAUAGCGGCCAAUACCAACCAGGUGCUCAACGAAGGACCAGAUAUUGGGCUAAGCACCUUGUCAGCAUCAGUAACCCACUCCUCACAGCCACCCAGUGAUGUGGGCACGGAAGUCAUUCACCAGGCAAGUCUGCACCCGAUGUACACUGGGUAUUCGCUGCAGUUUGUGCUUCUUACCAUCAAAAGAGGACAAUGAUUAAGAAAAGAGCCAUCCUUCUUCUGGUUGGUUGCAUUCUCUCAAUUUUUUCUGGAUUAAAGAAUCUGAUACAAAACACAGGUUUGUAUAGCUGUAAUUCUGCUCUUAAAAAAUAGUUGCUUUCCACCACAAUGGACAAGCAAUGGAGAAUUCUGACAACUUGUAUGUUACUGAAGAGUUGGCUCUGAUGUGAGUGUCACUGUCGUUUAUGAUCUGUGACACUCAUCGCUUCAGCCAGAUCACACCAUUCCACACACAAAGCACUGGAGCAAAUAAUUUGAUUAAAGCAAUUGUCUAGUUUUGAAACAUGGCGGUUCUAACAGUGUCACUGGUUUAUUCUAGGGUUUGACUCCCCGAGUCAAUAAUUUUCUGUUGCACUGUAAAAAUCCCCGUUUCCCAUAGUAGGAUGCUGACUCUCGAGCCAUCGAAUGCAUGAGCCCAAGGGGUGCCUCCCACUGCUUCAGCAGGGAGCAGCCACUGAGCUGCCAAGGA